Molecule: long non-coding RNA, 1544 nt
Filed under: Marmota monax (woodchuck)
Lineage: Eukaryota; Metazoa; Chordata; Mammalia; Rodentia; Sciuridae
Source: RNAcentral
AAGUGGGCAAUUGGGUGCCUAGGGCUCAGUUCCAGCACCCACCCUCCCUCUCCGCCCAGACUCUCCCCCUCCCCCUACUUCCCUAUUCUGUGACUUCUGGUGACCUCCCAGGAAGCAGCCUGUAUGCUAGGACCUCCCGCCCACGCUGCCCUCCAGGUCCUCAGCUCCACAAGAACUGUAGGUCUCAGAGGAGACCGGACCCCACCCCACCCCCACCCUGGUACUUGGCUUCUUUCAACCCGGGACCCACUGUCUUCCCCUUUGUCCUCCUGUGCCCACCUGGGUUCCUCUUGUCUCCCAGGCCACCUCGACUGGCCACCCUCUGCCCCACUCCUUUUGGCCCCUGCCACUGCUCUUUGACCCACCCUGCCCCCGUGCUGUGGCGGUCUUGCCUCCUGAGGGGGAAGGAGCACGUGGGCUGUCAGGGUCUGGGUGCGGGGUCCCCUCCCACCCUGGGCCUCGGCCCACGCGCAUGUCUGUCUGCCUGUUGAUUCACGGGUUUGUGCCACUGGGGGAGGGUUUGGCCGCCUCAGUAAAUUCUGGGACUUGCUGUGGGGAGGGGCAUGAGCAGGCGGAGGGGUCUUCACUCUGUCAUUCAGGGAUAAAGUUUCGUUUUAUUUUUGUACAUUUCGCCAGGCAGGGCGUUCGCUGUCGGCUCUCUCUGCCGGGGGAUUUUCUUAAGCUCUGGGUGCUUCCUAGUACUUUUUUUAACACAGGGAAGGAGGCUACUCUGACCUCACCCUCCUUCCCUCGCCACUCUUGUCCUGGGAGCCCCCAUGCUGUGUCCUGGGCUGUCCACCGCCCUGGACUUGGGGGGCCAGGGUGGUGUGAGGACUCAGUCCAGCUGCCAAGAGGGUUCCAACACCGAGGUGGCAUCUUUUGGUCCUCGUUUGUAUGCUGGGCGUGUUACGUUUUUAAAUUUUUUUUCUUGCCUAUCAAAACCAAACUCCAUUCCCAGUGCCCUUGUCUCUGGCUCUGAGGAUGCUCCACGCAGGGAGCUCUGCCGCCUGGACCAGUGGCCCAGCACCCCGCAGGGCCGGGGAAACAGAAAACACGACCUUAUUUUUGUUUACAAAAGCAAAAAAUGAAACCAAAAAACAUAACAACCUUUGAACUGUGCCUCGCUGUCUCCUCUUCAUUCUUGUUUGCUCGCAGCUCCAUGGGGCGAGCCCCUCCUCCCUCCAUGCAGAGUCCCUGGGGUGGGGUGGCAGGUGACAGUGGUGUUAUUGAAAGGGAGACUGGUGACCUGGGCCAGCCUAGGCAAGAGGAGCCAAAGAGGUUGUGAGCAGAGAGGAAGAAGGGCCUCCCACACCAGGGCUGGCUCAGAAAGUGCUCAGCCCCUCACCAGAAAGCCUGCCCCAGGCUCAGGGUCAGUGUGUGACAUGCCUCAUCUCGCUGAGCCCACUCCGAGUGGCCUGUGGCCCUUGGGCAGCUGGACUUGGCACCAGCACAUCUGCAUGCAGUGUGAGAUGCAGCCACAGGGCGACAGGGCUCCAGGCUGAGCAAGGACCUCAAGACCAGCCCUCAAAGCCGUCUCAGGUCAG